Molecule: unclassified non-coding RNA, 324 nt
Filed under: soil metagenome
Description: partial contains 5.8S ribosomal RNA, internal transcribed spacer 2, and large subunit ribosomal RNA
Rfam family: 5.8S ribosomal RNA (bases 4-118)
Source: RNAcentral
GAUGGAACGCAGCGAAAUGCGAUAAGUAGUGUGAAUUGCAGAAUUUAGUGAAUCAUCGAAUCUUUGAACGCACAUUGCGCCCUAUAGUAUUCUGUAGGGCAUGCCUGUUCGAGCGUUAUUGAGACCUCAAGCUCUGCUUGGAAAUGGGCGCUUGUCUUGCCUUGCAGACUCGCCUUAAAACCAUUGGCAGCUGAUUUACAAUGUUUGGUGCACAGUACAUGAGCCCAAGUGUUGCAAUGAGUGGCCCAAAAGUAUACAAUAGAAGCUUAACCUCGGAUCAGGUAGGGAUACCCGCUGAACUUAAGCAUAUCAAUAAGCGGAGGA